Molecule: long non-coding RNA, 2058 nt
Organism: Cyprinus carpio carpio
Lineage: Eukaryota; Metazoa; Chordata; Actinopteri; Cypriniformes; Cyprinidae
Source: Ensembl
AUGUGGGAGACUGCUCUUCAGGAGCUGGCGGAGACAGCGCCACUCCUUCCCCUGGAGGAGGGCCAGGUGGAGAAUCCUCAGUUUUCUUUUCUUUCUGUUCCGCCGCUGGUCCAACGGCCGGCGGUACCCACAUUUUCAAUAAAAGAGCAAUUUCCCUUUCCUCCAAGUUGCAAGGCUCGUGGGUUGACAAUGAGUGACGCACUGCCUACUCAUUCUCACCCACGACGCCCCCUUUCGCCAGUGGUCAAGAGGUCGCAGGUCGGAGAUGCAACGCCUCUCCACGCGUCUCUGGCCAGUUCCUCCGGGAACACGGGGAGUUUUGCUGUGAUGACUCAGAAAGCGAUGCUUUCUGGGCCAUCCAACACAUCUCCCCAUCGCUGCACCACUGCGGGUAUGUCGACUGUCCCUUUGGUGCCACUUGUAUGGAGUUUGGGGGCGUGGCUUGCACUGCCCAACCCGUCGCGCUGGCUCAUUCGGACGGUUCAACUCGGUUACGCAAUUCAGUUCACCCGGCGACCUCCCAAGUUCAAUGGUGUUCUCGAGACUUCGGUGGCAGCCCGGUACACCUCUGUCUUGCGCAAGGAGAUUGCUGUCCUGCUGGCGAAGGAUGCAAUCGAGCCGGUCCCUCCAGCCGAGAUGAGGAGCGGGUUUUACAGCCCCUACUUCACCCUACCCAUGAAAAGCGGUGGCCUUCAACCUAUCCUGGAUCUGCGAGUCUUGAAUCGGGCCCUGCACAAGCUCCCGUUCAAGAUGUUGACGCAGAAACGUAUUAUCAAAUGCGUCCAAGCCCAGGAUUGGUUUGCAGCGAUCGACCUGAAGGACGCAUACUUUCAUGUCUCGAUCCUCCCUCGUCACAGACCGUUUCUGCGGUUUGCAUUCAAGGGUCAGGCAUGGCAGUACAAGGUCCCUCCCCUUCGGGCUCUUCGUGUCUUCACGAAGGUCGCCCUUGCCCCACUCUGGGAAGUGGGCAUCGGGAUCCUCAACUAUCUCGAUGACUGGCUCAUUAUGGCCCGGUCCCGAGAGGAGUUGUGCAAUCACAGGGACUUCGUGCUCCGGCACCUCAGUCAGUUGGGGCUUCAGGUCAACCGGAAGAAGAGCAAGCUCUCCCCUGCGCAGAGAAUCUCUUAUCUCGGUAUGGAGUUAGACUCGGUGAGUAUGACGGCACGUCUCACCAGCGAGCGUGCCCAGUCAGUGCUGACCUGCCUGAGUUCCUUCAGAGGCGGGACAGUGGUACCACUGAAACACUUUCAGAGGCUCCUGGGGUAUAUGGCAUCCGCAGCCGCAGUCACGCCGCUCGGGUUGCUUCAUAUGAGGCCACUUCAGCACUGGUUGCACUCCCGAGUCCCGAGAUGGGCAUGGCACAUCGUGUCACCAUUACACCGAUGUGUCACCGCCUAUUCAGCCCCUGGUCGGUCCUUGUCUUUCUACAGGCCGGCGUGUCACAACAGAUGCCUCCAACACGGGCUGGGGCGCGACAUGCAACGGGCAGGCAGCUUCAGGGUCCUGGACAGGACCUCGACUGCUUUGGCACAUCAACUGUCUGGAGUUGCUGGCAGUGCAUCUAGCUUUACGGCGGUUUCGCCCGUUGUUGCUAGACAAGCACGUGUCGGUCCGCUGUUUCGUACAUCAACCGACAAGGCGGUCUACGAUCACGUCGCAUGUCUCAACUCGCCCGCCAUCUCCUCCUCUGGAGUCAGACGCGGCUCAAGUCGCUGCGCGCUAUCCACAUCCCAGGGGAGCUCAAUCGUGCAACCGAUGCGCUCUCAGCUCACUUUCCCCGGGGAAUGGCGACUCCAUCCCCAGACGGUCCAGCUGAUCUGUAGUCGAUUCGGGGAAGCCCAGGUAGACCUGUUUGCUUCCCACUGCCAGCUGUACUAUUCCCUGUCCCAGGCCCCCCUGGGCAUGGAUGCACUGGCACACAGCUGGCCUCGGCCUCUACGCAAGUAUGCGUUUCCCCCAGUGAGCCUGCUCGCACAGACACUGUGCAAGGUCUGGGAGGACGAGGAACGCCUUACUGGCCCACCCGGACCUGGUUUUCGGAACUCAUGCUCCUCGUGA